UACGUAGGAGACGAGCGUUGUCCGGAAUUACUGGGCGUAAAGCGCGUGUAGGCGGAUGAGCAAGUCUGCUGUGAAAGCUCCUGGCUUAACCGGGAGUGGUCGGUGGAAACUGCUCGUCUGGAGGACGGUAGAGGUAGGUAGAAUUCCCGGUGUAGUGGUGAAAUGCGUAGAGAUCGGGAGGAACACCGGUGGCGAAGGCGGGUCUCUGGGCAGUAACUGACGCUGAGGAGCGAAAGCGUGGGGAGCGAACAGG
This 253-nucleotide ribosomal RNA is filed under the name uncultured bacterium. RNAcentral's name for it is "partial 16S ribosomal RNA". It matches the Rfam family "Bacterial small subunit ribosomal RNA", at positions 524 to 776 of the family's 1533-position model. The record is from RNAcentral.